UACGUAGGGUGCGAGCGUUAAUCGGAAUUACUGGGCGUAAAGCGUGCGCAGGCGGUUUUGUAAGCCAGAUGUGAAAUCCCCGGGCUUAACCUGGGAAUGGCAUUUGGGACUGCAAGGCUGGAGUGCGGCAGAGGAGACUGGAAUUCCUGGUGUAGCAGUGAAAUGCGUAGAUAUCAGGAGGAAUACCGAUGGCGAAGGCAGGUCUCUGGGCCGACACUGACGCUCAUGCACGAAAGCGUGGGGAGCAAACAGG
RNAcentral lists this ribosomal RNA (253 nucleotides) under uncultured bacterium. RNAcentral's name for it is "partial 16S ribosomal RNA". It matches the Rfam family "Bacterial small subunit ribosomal RNA", at positions 524 to 776 of the family's 1533-position model. The record is from RNAcentral.